Molecule: ribosomal RNA, 138 nt
Filed under: Microcebus murinus (gray mouse lemur)
Lineage: Eukaryota; Metazoa; Chordata; Mammalia; Primates; Cheirogaleidae
Source: RNAcentral
GUCAAUGGCCAUGCCAGCCUGAAUGCACCUGAUCUCAUCUGAUCUCAGAAGCUAAGCAGGAUUGGGCCUGGUUAGUACUUGGAUGGGAGGAAUUCCACUUCAGUUAGGCCCCAUCCGCUAGCCAGGCCAGGGCUGAGG